GCGUGUGGUCUAGUGGUAUGAUUCUCGCUUUGGGCGCGAGAGGCCCUGGGUUCAAUUCCCAGCUCGCCCCAU
Molecule: transfer RNA, 72 nt
Filed under: Vanderwaltozyma polyspora
Lineage: Eukaryota; Fungi; Ascomycota; Saccharomycetes; Saccharomycetales; Saccharomycetaceae
Description: transfer RNA-Pro
Rfam family: tRNA
About the family: Transfer RNA (tRNA) molecules are approximately 80 nucleotides in length.
Source: RNAcentral